RNAcentral lists this ribosomal RNA (351 nucleotides) under Sesamia mediostriga. RNAcentral's name for it is "partial 12S small subunit ribosomal RNA". Lineage: Eukaryota; Metazoa; Arthropoda; Insecta; Lepidoptera; Noctuidae. RNAcentral also lists the same sequence under 1 other name. The record is from RNAcentral.
AAAAUUUAAAAUUAUGAUACUAAAAUAGUAAAUAAUUAUUUAUUGAAACUUAAAUAAUUUGGCGGUAUUUUAGUUCAUUUAGAGGAAUCUGUUUAAUAAUUGAUAUUCCACGAAUAAAUUUACUUAAUUUAUAAUUUUGUAUAUCGUUGUUGUAAAAAUAUUUUUUAAUAAAAUUAAUAUUUUAAAUUUAAUAUAUAAAUUUAAAUCAGAUCAAGAUGCAGAUUAUAAUUAAGAAUAUAAUGGAUUACAAUAAAUUUAUUUAAAUGGAUUUUAAUUUGUAAAAAUUAAUUGAAAGUGGAUUUAAAUGUAAUUUUAUUUAAUUUAAUAAAAUGAUUAAAAAUUAAAAUAUGU